Molecule: transfer RNA, 88 nt
Filed under: Nitrospira sp.
Lineage: Bacteria; Pseudomonadati; Nitrospirota; Nitrospiria; Nitrospirales; Nitrospiraceae
Also listed under: 10 other names
Description: tRNA-Ser
Rfam family: tRNA
About the family: Transfer RNA (tRNA) molecules are approximately 80 nucleotides in length. Their secondary structure includes four short double-helical elements and three loops (D, anti-codon, and T loops). Further hydrogen bonds mediate the characteristic L-shaped molecular structure. tRNAs have two regions of fundamental functional importance: the anti-codon, which is responsible for specific mRNA codon recognition, and the 3' end, to which the tRNAs corresponding amino acid is attached (by aminoacyl-tRNA synthetases). tRNAs cope with the degeneracy of the genetic code in two manners: having more than one tRNA (with a specific anti-codon) for a particular amino acid; and 'wobble' base-pairing, i.e. permitting non-standard base-pairing at the 3rd anti-codon position.
Source: RNAcentral
GGAGAGGUGCGAGAGCGGCCGAAUCGGACGGUCUCGAAAACCGUUGUCCUGAAAGGGACCGUGGGUUCGAAUCCCACCCUCUCCGCCA